This 301-nucleotide ribosomal RNA is filed under the name uncultured bacterium. RNAcentral's name for it is "partial 16S ribosomal RNA". It matches the Rfam family "Bacterial small subunit ribosomal RNA", at positions 509 to 809 of the family's 1533-position model. The record is from RNAcentral.
CAGCCGCCGCGGGAAUACAGAGGGUGCGAGCGUUAAUCGGAUUUACUGGGCGUAAAGCGUGCGUAGGCGGCUUCUUAAGUCGGACGUGAAAUCCCUGAGCUUAACUUAGGAAUUGCAUUCGAUACUGGGAAGCUAGAGUAUGGGAGAGGAUGGUAGAAUUCCAGGUGUAGCGGUGAAAUGCGUAGAGAUCUGGAGGAAUACCGAUGGCGAAGGCAGCCAUCUGGCCUAAUACUGACGCUGAGGUACGAAAGCAUGGGGAGCAAACAGGAUUAGAUACCCCUGUAGUCCCUGUCUCUUAUAA